Molecule: ribosomal RNA, 464 nt
Filed under: uncultured bacterium
Lineage: Bacteria
Description: partial 16S ribosomal RNA
Rfam family: Bacterial small subunit ribosomal RNA
Source: RNAcentral
CUACGGGAUGCACCAGUGGGGAAUAUUGCACAAUGGGCGCAAGCCUGAUGCAGCCAUGCCGCGUGUAUGAAGAAGGCCUUCGGGUUGUAAAGUACUUUCAGCGGGGAGGAAGGGAGUAAAGUUAAUACCUUUGCUCAUUGACGUUACCCGCAGAAGAAGCACCGGCUAACUCCGUGCCAGCAGCCGCGGUAAUACGGAGGGUGCAAGCGUUAAUCGGAAUUACUGGGCGUAAAGCGCACGCAGGCGGUUUGUUAAGUCAGAUGUGAAAUCCCCGGGCUCAACCUGGGAACUGCAUCGGAUACUGGCAAGCUUGAGUCUCGUAGAGGGGGGUAGAAUUCCAGGUGUAGCGGUGAAAUGCGUAGAGAUCUGGAGGAAUACCGGUGGUGAAGGCGGCCCCCUGGACGAAGACUGACGCUCAGGUGCGAAAGCGUGGGGAGCAAACAGGAUUAGAUACCCCGGUAGUC